RNAcentral lists this long non-coding RNA (2886 nucleotides) under Olea europaea subsp. europaea. The record is from RNAcentral. Lineage: Eukaryota; Viridiplantae; Streptophyta; Magnoliopsida; Lamiales; Oleaceae.
CUAUGGCGAUUGGGAAAGGCUGAAGCUCUGAUUGAAACCCCAAAGGUGCAAAAUCUUUACCUAAUUCCAUAAAUGGAUAAGUGGCAGCAUUUUAUUCAAGGUCGCAACUACCGUCAUUUGAUGUUAGAAGUUGGAUGCAACAAAUAGCCAAUGGCGGUACGUUCAAUUCUAAUUAGUUGAUAAUUUUACUUUCAUGGUACUAGGGGGUUAACUAUAAUAAUUUUUGAUCUGAGAAAUCCAAUCUCUCUCGAUUCUAGGUUGCAACUUAGGCACUCAAUAUUCAAUUUUUGCGGAUAUUUAUCAAUUGGAAAAUAUAGCUUGGCAUGCAUGGUGCAUAGGAGAUUUGACUUCUUGCAAUAUUUUACAGCAUGAGCACCCAGGAGUGACUUGCAAGUUAUACUAGGGGUCGGAGGAGAAACCCAACGUUAAUUUUUAUCCUGAUUCUGCACCAUCACGUGAAAGCCGAAGUCAGAAGGGAACAUCAACUCGCGCUAUGUCCCAAGAUGAGCAAGCUGGCCAACAAGGAGACGCCAUACCUGCACAAAUUGAUCUUAAGGCAUAUUAGGAUGAUGUGAUUAUACUUUCUAUGCUUCUUAACAUUCAUUUUGUUUGACUAUUCUAGGAUUUUGAUUCUAAAUAUUUGAUGUAUGAUUUGUUGCAAGCUUAGCUGGGAAAAUACUUUCGAGAAUUUUGCCUACGCUUUUCUUGAAAAUUGUACACGAGGAAAUUUCGUAUCCAAGGUGAGAAAACAUAAGUUCUUAAUCUUGUUGAUGGAUCAAUAUUUGCAAGUUAUUAUUAAUAAAGACUAGUUGUUGAAUGAUAGUGGGGUAUUAGUAGACAAUGGGCCAGCUAGGUAGACCAACUUCAAGUAUAAUUUCAUGUCCUCUUGAGCUACUAGGUUCCAAAAUUUAGGAAUGAGGAUUAUCAAUGUUUGCAGGCCAAGUUCAAAUUGUAAGAAAUGUCUGCCAUUCUACCCUUUUCGCAUAAAGGUUGUGUGGAAUUACUUAACCUUUUUAAUGAAGAAUGCACUAGCAUCUUGCACCCCAAAAUGAGAUUCUGUCAAGAACUGACUAAAGAAUGUAGUGCAUUGGCUUCAUCAAUUGUGCAAGGGCACUGCAUUACACUUAACCUAAUGGACAUUAUAACAGAACAUACCUUUUCUCCAUGCAAUAUUCAUAGUUUGACAAGCUCUUUGCACCUUGAUUAAUGUGCUUCACAUGACACAUUUUGUUGCUAAUUGGUGAUUACUUAGCAAACCUCUUUUUAAACAAUUUGCUGCUAAUUCGUAUACUUGUUCAUUUAUCAUACUUUUUCAAAUAUUGUAGAGUUUUAAUUAGUUCUUGGCUUUCCUUUUUUUCCUUUGAUGAGUACUGUUUGUACAAGUAAAAGAAGAUUGGAAGAGCUUUAGGUUCAAUGCAAUAACAGUCUGUGUGCAGAUUGUAGUGCUCCAGAUCCAAAAUUGGCCUAAGUUCCCUCUAGUUUCUUCUGAUUUUUUUCUCUCUUUACUUCUUGCUAGAUUAUUCAUAAAAAAGUCAAGAGACAGCGAGGGAAAAGUAGUAGUUGUUGCUUGCUUACCUUAAAAGGCUAUUCAAGCUCAUUAUUAUCUGCGUGUCAAUAUUAAAAAGAACACAUGUAAAUUAAUGUACUCUGUAUCUGUGUUUCCUUUGUUUUUACUUGUUAAUUUUUUAUUUUUUAUUUUUUGUACCACGUUCAGAUUUGCAAAUAUUGGAGUAUUUAUUUGCUUAAAGUGCUGUGUUGUGCACAGAAACCUUGGUACACAUAUUUCAAAGGCGCCUUCCUCAUUUCAUUUUUGUAUUCUACCGUCUCCUAUUUCUCACACUCAUACAUUUUAUAAUCUUUUAUUCUUUACAUUUCCACCAUAAAAUUUUGUAUCGUAUAGAUUUGGUCCGUCACAUUGGAUGAAUGGUCUAAUGAUAAAAUUGAUGCACUGAUUGAGGUUGGAGGAAAUGCUUUUGCUAAUUUAAUUUACACGGCAUAUCUUCCUGAAGGAAUCUCAAAACCUUGAGAAGAUCCUAGCCAAAAAGAGCGUAAAAAAUUUAUCAGGUGACUAAUCACAAAAACAAUAUCAAUUAUAAGCUUUCAUAGGACAUUGUUGAUCUUUCUGUGGUGAAGAUGUGGUUAUUUCUUUAGUUACUUAUAUGAGACUUUUUGUUAAUUCACCUGCCAUGUCUCACCAGUCACCAGGUAAUAUUUAAUUAAGAUUUGCUGUGUCACUCCGACCAGGCAUUUUCUUCUUUCUUUAAUGUCUAUCAUGUCGACUUUCUGUUCAGUCAAAUCCUAAGUUCAACUCUUGAAUCUGUAUAUUCUAUGAAAGGUCUCCAUUAUGAGGCUACUGAAUUCUUGAGUUGUUUGCAUGGACGAGUGCAAGUUUUGUAGGACUAAAUCUUCAGUGGGACGGGCGCACCAUACUGAGGUGCCACCUCGGUGGGUGGUCCACACACCUCGGGGGUGUGUGGUGGGUUACCAGCUGAAGUGACAUACCAUGUAUCAUGGCAGUCACACUGCCAUGUGGUGCGACCGCCCAACUGAAGUUUCUCUCGUUUUGUAGGAUGGUAAACUGGAUUGCAAAAGAAGAAGUCCAAUUCCUUAUAAACCCACAAACUACACCUCCGAUUUGUUUUGUUUUAUUUUAUUUUAUAUGUAAAUUUCACGCCAAAAAAUAAUAUCAAUUUCAUUUUUCUUCAAGCUUGCUAUAGCUAAAGUUCACAAGUAAAUAAUGACCUAUAUAUGUUAGUCUCCUUUUAUCUUCCAUUUACUGUAGUUUUUUUAUUUUCAUGUUCAAUUUCUUGAAUAUUAUUUCAUAGGAAUGAUCUGUAAAGGAAUUACUGAAUUGUUGGAUUUGUCAAAGUUCAAAUGAAACCAAAG